This 543-nucleotide long non-coding RNA is filed under the name Homo sapiens (human). RNAcentral's name for it is "HSALNT0323137". The record is from RNAcentral. Lineage: Eukaryota; Metazoa; Chordata; Mammalia; Primates; Hominidae.
CUUUAACGUACAUCUAAUUUAGAAAAGUACAUUUUAGUUUCCAAACAUUUUAAGGAUUAUCUAGGUGUACUUUUGUUACUGAUUUCUAGAUUAUUUCUUCUAUGGCCAGAAAACACCCUCUGAAUAUUUUCACACCUUUGUAUUGUGUUACAAUUUGCAAUUUCGGCUAAUAUUAUUGGAUGAUGAUUCUCCAUGGGCCUCUCAUGUUUCUUCACAUCUUAAGAACAGAAGUAUUGACUCCUUUUAUUUCCGGACUACAUUCUCAAGGAUGUUUGUGAAGCAAACAGCUUUGGAAGAUAGAGACGCUGUCUUCCUCCAGAACAAAAGGCAAGUUUUCUUAAAGUCUUGGAAGACUGUUUCCAUCUAGAAAAGCAAGUAGGCAUUCUUAAUAUCUAGUAUGAACAACUCCGGUUUUCCAAGCUCAUCCAUCUUCUUUUGUAACACAAUUCAGUCAAUGUACAAGCACUGCCUGGCCCUCUUCAAGACAUCCUAUAGGAAUUGCUGCUUGGGGAGCUGAUGCUUGUGCAGCUUGCUUUAAUGUGG